GACGAACGCUGGCGGCGUGCCUAAUACAUGCGAGUCGAACGAGAGCGACCGGUGCUUGCACUGGUCAAUCUAGUGGCGAACGGGUGAGUAACACGUGGGUAACCUGCCCAUCAGAGGGGGAUAACAUCCGGAAACGGAUGCUAAAACCGCAUAGGUCUUCGAGCCGCAUGGCUUGAAGAGGAAAAGAGGCGCAAGCUUCUGCUGAUGGAUGGACCCGCGGUGCAUUAGCUAGUUGGUGAGGUAACGGCUCACCAAGGCCGUGAUGCAUAGCCGACCUGAGAGGGUGAUCGGACACAUUGGGACUGAGACACGGCCAAAACUCCUACGGGAGGCAGCAGUAGGGAAUCUUCCGCAAUGGACGCAAGUCUGACGGAGCAACGCCGCGUGAGUGAAGAAGGUUUUCGGAUCGUAAAACUCUGUUGUUAGAGAAGAACAAGUGCUAGAGUAACUGUUAGCGCCUUGACGGUAUCUAACCAGAAAACCACGGCUAACUACGUG
Molecule: ribosomal RNA, 498 nt
Filed under: uncultured bacterium
Lineage: Bacteria
Description: partial 16S ribosomal RNA
Rfam family: Bacterial small subunit ribosomal RNA
Source: RNAcentral